This is a long non-coding RNA of Mytilus trossulus (common blue mussel), 1524 nucleotides long. RefSeq lists it as uncharacterized. The transcript is spliced from 8 exons. Lineage: Eukaryota; Metazoa; Mollusca; Bivalvia; Mytilida; Mytilidae. The record is from RefSeq and is a predicted model, not a curated record.
CACCAGAAAUUUAUGUAAAGAGGAACCUCCUAAAAGAAAAGACAAUUCUGAAACAAAAUCAACUAAUGUACAAAAGAUUGAUGAAACUCAUCAACAAAGGACAAACAACACAAAAACCUCUUAUGUUGUCCCGAAAAUACGUCAGAUCAAGCACAGAAAUUUACUAAAGGCGAAUUUUUAAAAUUAAUGCUGGAUAGAAGCAAUAUGCAUCUCGAUAUUUUGAAAUAUAUUCAAAAUUGUUCAACUACAUUAAAUUAAUGCAAAAAGUAGGAGACCCCGCGAAUAGUUGUGAGGACUAUGCUGAUAAAACUAGGAAUUUUACUUAGGAGCAAAGAUCAUCAAUCCUAAAAUAAUUAUGUGACAAUGUUCAUCCAAUCACCUUGCAACACCUUGAUGUACAUGUACCAAGUCUAAUUCAUGUCACUAUUACAUGCACUUUGAUACACAGACCAUCCAACUUUGAUUCAGGCUUUUUACAUCAUAUGGCUGAUCUAGAUGCUGUUUUAAGAGCACAGUCUGUACUGUUUGUGAUUGAAGAAGAAGUGGAAACAAAGCCAGAAAAUCUGUUGAGUCAUACAGAUAUUCUGUUUAAUAUGUCCUGAAACACAAACUUCAGCGAAGACCUACUUUAGUAAAGAUGCAUGGCAGCUUGUUUUAAAUACUCUCAAAGUAUUAGAAGAUAUGUAUAUUAGUAACACUCAGAAGCAUUAUGAUAAGAUUUCUCCAUGCCAGACAAGAAAAGGCAAAGCUUUAAUAGGUCCAGUUGAAGGAAGAAUAUUCAAAAAGUUUUCAAAAAGGACAUCAGACCAGAUUAAAUCAAGAAAAAGAAGUGUGGACAAUUCUUCAUUAAAAGCUAGGAAAUCCUUUACAAAUGAAGAUAUAGUUUUCCAUUAAAAGCUAGGAAAUCCCUUACAAGUGAAGAUAGUUCUCCAUUAAAAGCUAGGAAAUCCCUUACAAGUGAAGAUAGUUCUCCAUUAAAAGCUAGGAAAUCCCUUACAAGUGAAGAUAGUUCUCCAUUAAAAGCAAUAAAAGUUUUAAAUAAUCCAAUAGAUGUUUGCCAAAAUUUAGAAAGGAUCCGUGAAACUACUGGAGAAUAUGAAAGGAUUGGUAAAAAUACUAAAUAGGAUGCAAUUACAGGACUUAUUAAUCAUUCAUCGACAAAAGAUAAAAAAUCAGAAAUAGGCAGAAAAAGAUCAGGAAAUAAGAAAAUAGAUGCAGCAGAAUCCAAGAAGUGUACAGUAAGACUGACUGAUAUUGGUACUAUUAAAAACUUGAAAACAUAUGUAAACAAGACAGAGGAAAUAAGAAAAAGAAGGAAGAUAUGUGUAAAGAAUUUGUAAAAAAAAAUGUUAAAUGUUAAAGGGGCACUAGCUGUCAAAUUCAUGUUCACCGACUUUACUUAAUUUCUAGUAUUUGAUUUAUAAUAAUGAAUAAUGUUAACAUUUAUCCAACCUAUUUAAGGUCUAAAAUAAACUAUUAAGAGGACACGGUAUAAAAUUACAUUUCGUGUGUUCGCAGUCUAGA